This 949-nucleotide long non-coding RNA is filed under the name Chinchilla lanigera (long-tailed chinchilla). RNAcentral's name for it is "lncRNA (ENSCLAG00000027122.1)". The record is from RNAcentral. Lineage: Eukaryota; Metazoa; Chordata; Mammalia; Rodentia; Chinchillidae.
GGCCCACUGGCUCAUAUCCUGAAUAGGAGUUUUGCUGGCAGCUACUUGGCCAAAAUACACUGUACUAGGGAAAUGUUCCUCAGGUUCUUUAUCUAAGAGGAGACCCAGAGCCGCACGGUGCAGAUACCUGCUUAACGACCCGCUCUGCCAUGAAUGGGAGGAACCGUGCUUUUAUCCCAGGCUCCCCUAUGCCCCACCAGAUGCAUGAAUAAGGAAAACCAGGAGCUACUCAGCACACCUCAGAGGGUCCUGUGAGCAGCAAUGAGGUGAAUGAAUGCGAAUGAGCACUGGAAGGUAUUAUCCCACUUUAACAUAGAUAAUUAAUUGUUGAGGUGUUCUUGGCAUAAAACAACAGGGCUGUGUAAAAGUUGUCCCCUUACAUUGUGUGUAUAGUGAAGUUUUAACCACACCCAGGCACUGCUUGAAUGGGGAGCCUGACGUUAACACGUCCAUGACGGUGUUAAGAAUGACUGUCACAAGCCUUCGGCUCCCUUAAAACUCCCAUCAGAAUCUUGGCCAAACCCUUCCAACAUCAGUAAUUCACAACACUGGUCACCUACCGGAGGACAUCUCAGGCACUGCCCCCUCUGUCAUCACAAUCUAGAAGGCGUAGACUGGGGCCCACAUUCUCUUCCUCCCAGAGCUGGGUCAGACUUCGGCCCUGCCUGGCCACUCUGGAACUCCACUAAUAGCCGUUCCACUUGAAGUCGGUGGCCAGCGCAGGGCCAAAGUGGGACGGGUGCCCUUGGACUUCCAAGGCUCCCAGCCCAUCAGAGCGCCAGGCUCCUCACGGAAAGGUUUCCUCCUGCAGCACCAGCCCACUCUACAGCUGUGGGUUCAGGCCAGCGGCACCAAGUGUCGCGGACCUCAGACUGAGGUGAUGAGCAGAGAUCUGUGCACAGCUCCAGUCUCCAGCGUCAUUUCCUGCAGCCGCUGGGAAAGGAAGUGA